RNAcentral lists this ribosomal RNA (305 nucleotides) under uncultured bacterium. RNAcentral's name for it is "bacterial SSU rRNA". It matches the Rfam family "Bacterial small subunit ribosomal RNA", at positions 338 to 658 of the family's 1533-position model. The record is from RNAcentral.
CCUACGGGGGGCAGCAGUGGGGGAUAUUGCACAAUGGGGGAAACCCUGAUGCAGCGACGCCGCGUGGGCGAAGAAGUAUUUCGGUAUGUAAAGCCCUAUCAGCAGGGAAGAAGAAAUGACGGUACCUGAGUAAGAAGCACCGGCUAAAUACGUGCCAGCAGCCGCGGUAAUACGUAUGGUGCAAGCGUUAUCCGGAUUUACUGGGUGUAAAGGGAGCGCAGGCGGCACGGCAAGCCUGAUGUGAAAGCCCGGGGCUCAACCCUGGGACUGCUCUGGAAACUGUAAAGCUGGAGUGCGGGAGGGGC